RNAcentral lists this ribosomal RNA (497 nucleotides) under uncultured bacterium. RNAcentral's name for it is "partial 16S ribosomal RNA". It matches the Rfam family "Bacterial small subunit ribosomal RNA", at positions 28 to 507 of the family's 1533-position model. The record is from RNAcentral.
GACGAACGCUGGCGGCGUGCCUAAUACAUGCAAGUUGAGCGCUGAAGGUUGGUACUUGUACCAACUGGAUGAGCAGCGAACGGGUGAGUAACGCGUGGGGAAUCUGCCUUUGAGCGGGGGACAACAUUUGGAAACGAAUGCUAAUACCGCAUAAAAACUUUAAACACAAGUUUUAAAUUUGAAAGAUGCAAUUGCAUCACUCAAAGAUGAUCCCGCGUUGUAUUAGCUAGUUGGUGAGGUAAAGGCUCACCAAGGCGAUGAUACAUAGCCGACCUGAGAGGGUGAUCGGCCACAUUGGGACUGAGACACGGCCCAAACUCCUACGGGAGGCAGCAGUAGGGAAUCUUCGGCAAUGGACGAAAGUCUGACCGAGCAACGCCGCGUGAGUGAAGAAGGUUUUCGGAUCGUAAAACUCUGUUGGUAGAGAAGAACGUUGGUGAGAGUGGAAAGCUCAUCAAGUGACGGUAACUACCCAGAAAGGGACGGCUAACUACGUG